UGGCGAACGGGUGAGUAACGCGUAGACAACUUGCCCAGAGAUUUGGGAUAACAUCGAGAAAUUGAUGCUAAUACCGCAUACGAUCUACGGAUGAAAGCGGGGGACCUUCGGGCCUCGCGCGAUUGGAGCGGCCGAUGUUAGAUUAGGUAGUUGGUGGGGUAAAGGCUCACCAAGCCGACGAUCUAUAGCUGGUCUGAGAGGACGACCAGCCACACUGGAACUGAGACACGGUCCAGACUCC
This 241-nucleotide ribosomal RNA is filed under the name uncultured bacterium. Its description in RNAcentral is "partial 16S ribosomal RNA". It matches the Rfam family "Bacterial small subunit ribosomal RNA", at positions 96 to 339 of the family's 1533-position model. The record is from RNAcentral.